Long non-coding RNA from Solenopsis invicta (red fire ant), 747 nucleotides. RefSeq lists it as uncharacterized. NCBI's taxonomy places the organism in Eukaryota, Metazoa, Arthropoda, Insecta, Hymenoptera, Formicidae. The transcript has 2 exons. The record is from RefSeq and is a predicted model, not a curated record.
CGACUUUGAUUCUGUCCAUGGGGAAAUUUUCCAAACUAAGAAGUCACCAUCCUUCUACAUACUCGCAAUUCAUGAUUAACGUAACGUCAGGCUUACGAUCGAUCCCGGCCGCUUACGACCGCAUUUGACACAAUUUGACAUGAGGUUAAGUAAUUUGACAUGAGGUUAAAUAAUUUGAGAUUUGCGACUUGAAUUCACUGGGCAAGAAGAUACUGACGAAAUCUCAGAUCUGGCUGCAGUGCAACAAGUGUAAAUACACCACGCAUCAUGAUUCCUUUAUGAUGCAAUUUUUUUAUUAUAAUUUUCCUUAAAUUACAUUUAAUGAAAGUAUGCAUUAUUCAAACAACGACGGUUGUUUACGAAGUAACAUACGAUUAAAAGGAAUAACAAUUAGCAAUAUAAAUAAAAUUGAAAGAGCGAAACUGCGAUUUUUCCAACAGUGAGUCAAUUGACAUCGAUGUAUUGUCAACAUGACACAGCUUUGAUCAGCAAAAUAAACAUCAUUGCGAGUGUCAUGCGGAAAUUCAAUUAAAGCAACCAAAUGUAAUACCAAAGUGCCUUUGAUUUUUGCACAGUUAAUCAAACCAGGCACCGGCACGGACCAGUAUCCAGUGUGUUGUUCGUUGGUGAUGUCAUAUUUUCUGAAAAAUAUAAUUUGUAAUUAAUAAAUAAUUAUAUCCAUUGUUAAUGAAUUAAUUUUGUUAAAUAGAAAAAUUUGUUAUAAUAAAUUUAUCCGUUGAUUCUAAA